Cyprinus carpio (common carp) is the source of this 1284-nucleotide long non-coding RNA. Lineage: Eukaryota; Metazoa; Chordata; Actinopteri; Cypriniformes; Cyprinidae. The record is from Ensembl.
AGGGUUUCAUGUGACUGUAUUCUACACUUGCAUCCACAUGUAAAAUCCUCAGGGCUGAAAGAUAGGUCCACUACUGAGACCAUUGAAUCACCUGAGGGACCCCCUGCUGAACCUGUGGAAGAAGCUCCUGAAUCUAUCGUGGAGGAAGUAAUUCAAGCCACUAAAGUUGAAGAAGCAGCUCGGCCACCACCAGAACCAGAGACUGUGGAAGAGGAGCCUGUUCCUGUGGAAGAAGAACCUCUGGCAGUAGACGAAGAGCCCACUUCCAUAGAAGAUGAAGUAGCUGAGGAGGAACCAGAGGUUGAAGAGGAGCAAGAAGUUCCUGAGGAAGAACCAGAAGUUGUGGAGGAAGAGCCUGAGGUUACAGAGACUGUUCCAAUUGAGGAAGAGGCUUUUGAGGAGGCAGUGGAAGAGCCUGCAAAAGAGGAAGAGGUCAUACCAGUUGAAGAAUCAGUUGAGGAGGCUGCACCAGUGGAAGAAUCAGUUGAGGAGGCUGCACCAGUGGAAGAAUCAGUUGAGGAGGCUGCACCAGUUGAAGAAUCAGUUGAGGAGGCUCCUCCAGUGGAAGAAGCAGUAGAGGAGGCUCCUCCAGUGGAAGAAGCAGUUGAGGAAGUGUUGGAGGAAGAGGCUGCACCAGUAGAUGUAGUAGAAGAUGUACCACUGAAAGAAGCAAUAGAAGAAUUAGCUGAAGAAGUUGCACCUGUGGAAGAAGCGGUUGAGGAAGUGUUGGAGGAAGAGGCUGCAUCAGUAGAAGAUGCACCACUGGAAGAGGCAAUAGAAGAAGUAGUAGAAGAGGAUGGACCAGUGGAAGAAACAGUAGAGGAAGCCGCACCAGUAGAAGAAGCUGUGGAGGAGGUGGUACCAGUAGAAGAUGAUGUGGAAGAGGUUGUACCGGUAGAAGAUGAUGUGGAAGAGGUUGUACCGGUAGAAGAAGCUGUUGAGGAGCUUGUACCGGUAGAAGAAGCAGUAGAGGAACCUGAACAAGAGGAGGAAACUGAAACGACAGAACCAGAGGAAGAAGUAGAAACACCCCAAGAGACAGUUGAGGAUUCAGUCUCUGUAGAAGAAACUGUAACAGAAGAGGAAGUUAUAGAGGAAACAGAUGAGCCAGUUCAGGAAGAUGAGGAUGUACAAGACUCCAUGUCAGAGGAAACAGAGUUUGAGGCAGAGAAUAUGGAAGAAGAGGAGGAUGUAGCUGCUGAAGAAGAGCAGGCUGAGGAGGACGAAGCAGAGGAAAUUAGCCAAACAGAAGAACAAAUUGAAGUAGAGCCUACAGAAACAUAA